Molecule: ribosomal RNA, 666 nt
Filed under: uncultured bacterium
Lineage: Bacteria
Description: bacterial SSU rRNA
Rfam family: Bacterial small subunit ribosomal RNA
Source: RNAcentral
UAACGCGUAGGCAACCUGCCCUUUGCACAGGGAUAGCCAUUGGAAACGAUGAUUAAAACCUGAUAACACCAUUUGGUUACAUGAGCAGAUGGUCAAAGAUUUAUCGGCAAAGGAUGGGCCUGCGUCUGAUUAGCUAGUUGGUAAGGUAACGGCUUACCAAGGCGACGAUCAGUAGCCGACCUGAGGGGGUGAACGGCCACAUUGGAACUGAGACACGGUCCAAACUCCUACGGGAGGCAGCAGUGGGGAAUAUUGCACAAUGGGCGAAAGCCUGAUGCAGCAACGCCGCGUGAAGGAAGAAGGCCUUCGGGUCGUAAACUUCUGUCCUUGGGGAAGAAGAACUGACGGUACCCAAGGAGGAAGCCCCGGCUAACUACGUGCCAGCAGCCGCGGUAAUACGUAGGGGGCAAGCGUUAUCCGGAAUUAUUGGGCGUAAAGAGUACGUAGGUGGCAACCUAAGCGCAGGGUUUAAGGCAAUGGCUCAACCAUUGUUCGCCCUGCGAACUGGGAUGCUUGAGUGCAGGAGAGGAAAGCGGAAUUCCUAGUGUAGCGGUGAAAUGCGUAGAUAUUAGGAGGAACACCAGUGGCGAAGGCGGCUUUCUGGACUGUAACUGACACUGAGGUACGAAAGCGUGGGGAGCAAACAGGAUUAGAUACCCUGGUAGU